AGAGGUGGGCAAAAAAAUCCAUAUUUUGGAUUUUAAACCACAUCCAAACCAAACUAUUUAAAAAGAAAAACAGUUUUUAAUAAAGAAAACCCAAACUAAAUUGGAUCCUUUUUAUAAUUUGGUUUUCAAAUCCAAACCAUUUAAACAAGUUUAAAUCCAGAUCCAAAUCCAUAUCCAAAUUAAAAUCCAAAAUAAAAAAAACCCUAAUCAGUGAAUCCAGUCCACAAUCCAGUUUCACACACAACCGUGUCUUUGUCGGUCUUCUCUCUUCGGCUCUUCCCUCUUGGUCUCCGCCGCAGCCGGCACCAGAGCAAGCACCGUGUUGGCUCUUCCCUCUAGUGUUCACCUGCCGGUUGAUCAUCGUCUGCUUGUCCAAAAUCUUACUGCUCAGGUAAUAAUUUGUCAUUCAAUUUGGUUAUUUGCUUGCGUUCAAGAUGCUUCCAAAAUUACUCUCAGUUUCAUACUUGUUUAGGUCGUUAGUGUUAUGAACUGAUGCUUCUAAAUGAUGUAAAUGGUGGAGACCCCAAGAGUUUAGGUCAAUAUUGGGAAUAUGGUUUUUAUUUUGAAACUGAGAAUUUCAAAUACUCCAAAAAUUAGUUUGUGGUUUGGUCAAUGAUAGUUUCAAAUUUUGGUUGAUUUUGACUGAAGUUUCAAUCUUUUCCCUAUUUCUGAAUUUUGAUUUCUGCCUCCAAAGGAGAAGAAAAGGUGGGUUUCUCUUCCAUUUUUUCAUUUUGCUUCUUUGAGUUUCUAAAUCAAUUUUGUUUUAGUAGAAUUUAAUUUCCCGAAUCAAAACUCUUGAGGAGGAAGUGUUCACUGAUGAUGAUAAAGUGUGGGUUGGUCUAAUCAAUCUUUUAUUUAUUCAUGUCAAUUGGAUUAUCCAGUUAUGUAUUUUCAUAGUUGUUAAUGCUCUUGACUGUCUCCCAGGAAGGCAUUUCACGAUGAGCUCAUAUGUUUGUUGAGGAUAUUUCCAAUAUUGCUUCUGGAAAUCCAUCAUUAGAUAGGAGCUCAUGUAUUUCCAACAAUUGUUUCCUUGAGCACAUCAAUGUAUGUUUCAGCUAGAAGCCAUAAAUAGUUUGCUAAAGGAAGUUAUGUAUCAAUGGCAAAUGCCACUUUAUAUGUACUCAUUUCUUGAUAUGUGCCCCUCCCUGUAUUAGGCUUUGUACAGAAGUUUUGUUUCUUUAUAUUUGUGAUUCCACUUCAUCUUUGCAAAGUUUUGAUUUGAAAUUGACUUUAGUAUUAAUUUUACUUUUAAAAAUAUUAUGGUUUGAAAAUUGAAUUUCUAAAAACUGGUUUUAAAAGUGGAUUUUUUGUUAAAAAAUCUGGUUUGGAAAUUGGAUUUUUAAAAACUAGUUUUAAAACUGGAUUUUUGGUUGAAAAAACUGGUUUUAAAACUGGGUUUUCAAAAACUGGUUUUAAAACUGGAUUUUUGGUUAAAAAAUUUGGUUUUAAAACUGGAUUUUCAAAAAAAAAAAAACUGGAUUUUAGAUUUGGAUAUAAAAAACCGGAUUUAAAAUUGGUUUAUAGAUAAAACCGGAUUUAAAUUCUAAAACCGGUUUAAAACCGGUUUUUGUUUUCUCAAACCGAUUUAAAACCGGUUUCUCUCUUCAAUCCAGUUUGGAUUUUUAAAAAUCCAAACCAUGCCCACUCCUACCUAGCUCUAGCUGCUCUCUUCUCUCAGUCUCACACUCUCGCUCUUUGCACUGGAGUCUCGAGUAGGAAGCCCUUCCUCCCAUCACUUGGCAGCGCCGCCGAAGACUUCUUCCCAGCGAGCACUGACCCAGCAGCUUUCUUCCCAGCAGCGCCGAAGCCGAAGCCUUCUUCCCAGCGAGCACCGACCCAGCAGCGCCGAACCCUUCUUCCCACCGAGCCACCUAGCACAGCACCGCCUAGCAGUGUUUUCGGCCACCCACAACACAGCACAGCACAGCACCGACUACCAAGCCACCCAACCACCGAUUCAAGUGAGACAUGGAGCCCGAGCCUCUGAGUCAGGUAUGUAAUUAAGUAAUUUGACUAAUUUCUGUUCAAUAAUCAUUGUUCAGUGAUUCAUUGUUGCUGGCUGUUGUUAACUUGUUAUUGUUUUAUUUGUUUCUCAUUGUUUAGGGAAAUUUAUUGUUUUAUUUGUUUUAUUGUUUUACUUGUUAUUGAUUCACUGAUUAUUUGAUUUCAUUGUUGCUAGUUGUUUUCUUGCUGGUUCAGUGUUCAUUGUUUUAUUUGUUGUUCAUUGUUUAGGGAAAUUGCUUCUGAUUGUUAGUUCAUUGAUCAUUGUUUAAUUUAUUUGUUGUUAUGUUUUUGCUCUUGAAUUAUUAGACCAAAGAAAUUGGAUUGAUAGAUAAAAAUGAUAGUAAAAAAUGAUAGUUUGUCCUGUUUGUUAUAACCCUUGUAGCUUUGGUUAUGAUGUAUUAGGAAAAAAUCUGCAUGCACGCUUCCCCUUCCCCUGUAUUGGAAGAUAUCACUGGAUCACAACAUGCACAAAAAUGAUAUCACUGUAUUGUUGCUACGUGCUGUUUACUGGUGGGUGCAUUGUUGAUUUGAUGAAUUAUUUUAUUGUUGGUUUUGUUGCUGGCUUGCUGCCUUGCUGGUUGCUGUUUAUUGUUGGUAAUUUACUGGUUGCUGUUUAUUGCUGGUUGCUGAAUUAUUUUAUUGUUGUUCUGUUUAUUGUUGGUAAUUUGGUAUUACUGGUUAUUGAAUUAUUGUUCAGUGUAUUGAGAUCAGUGUAUUGUUCAGUUUAUUGUUGAUAAUUUGGUAUUGCUGGAUUGCUGGUUAUUGAUUUAUUUUUCAGUUUAUUGCUUGAUGCUGGUUAUUGAUUUAUUGUUGAAUGUUGAUAACUUGGUAAUUGGUAUUGCUGGAUUGUUGCUGGUUUAUUGUAUUGCUGGAUUGCUGCUGGUUUAUGGUAUUGCUUGAUUUAUUGUAUUUACCCUGUUGUGCUAUAUAUAUAUAUUGGUCUUUUCUGAUUGCUGGUUCACUGAUCAUUGUUUAAUUUAUUUGUUGUUCUGUUUAAGGAAAUUUAUUUGCUGGUUCACUGAUCAUUGUCACCUCUUAAUUUGAGCAGAUUUGAAGGUUUUUUUUAUGACAGUUCCAUUGAUGGAGUUAUCAAGGAGAGCUUUACGGAAUAGUUUGUCUUGUUUGUUACACUUGUAGCUUUGGUUAUAAUGAACUAGGAAAGAAUAUGCAUGAAUAUGAAUAUCUUGAUAAGAAUGGAAUAGUUUGUCCUGUUUGUUAUAUAACACUUGUAGCUUUGGUUAUGAUGUACUAGGAAAGAAUAUGCAUGAAUAUGAAUAUCUUGAUAAGAAUGGGAUGGAUUGUCAAUUCUUUGAAUCAGUGACUGAUUCCUUAUUUUAAACUCAGUGACUUUGAGAUCAUGGGGAAAAACUCUAAAGGUGGCUUCAAGACUUUCCUUUUGUUGAAAA
RNAcentral lists this long non-coding RNA (3410 nucleotides) under Arachis ipaensis. Its description in RNAcentral is "long non-coding RNA (AIPA_LNC002543)". Lineage: Eukaryota; Viridiplantae; Streptophyta; Magnoliopsida; Fabales; Fabaceae. The record is from RNAcentral.